RNAcentral lists this long non-coding RNA (521 nucleotides) under Mytilus galloprovincialis (Mediterranean mussel). Lineage: Eukaryota; Metazoa; Mollusca; Bivalvia; Mytilida; Mytilidae. The record is from RNAcentral.
GGAAAUACAAGGAUUGUAAAAAGUUUAUCCAAAGAUAUUGUCAGGUGGAUGUUAUUAUGAAGCAAAGGACAACAUUCAAUACUGUUACAGGUAAAUAUAAUAAUACGAAUAUGUGGUAUGAUUGCCAAUUAAGACAAUUCUCCACCAAAUAAAGUUGAAGUUGACAACUAAAGGUCCCCAUAACAACUCUUUACCAGAUACUGAAUGACGUAGAAGUAAACAAUUAUAUGUCCGCAUAACAAUUCUCCACCAGAGACCAAAUGGUGUAGAAGUUAACAACUAUAGGUCAUCAUCAGCCUUCAUCAAUGAGCAAAAAAAAAACAAAAACCAAGUACACAUAGAAAGCUAUAAAACGCCAGAAAGACAAAUGUUAAAGGAAAUGAGAAAACUAACAGUCUGAUUUAUGUACAAAACAAUAAACAAAAACAAAUAUAACUUACAGAAACAAAUAACAAUCAAUGAAUUACAGACUUGGGACAGGCACAUACAUAAUGUGGAGGGAUAAACAUAUUUGCUGGCAC